AUGAUUCAUGAGCAAAUAAUCAUAAAGUCAAGCUAUAUAGUGCACUUUCUGUUCUCAGGAAGGAAGCAUGGCACCAGCCAAUAUCACUCCAGCUACAAGUAUCUCUAGACGCUGUUCUUCUAGCUCAUAUCGCCUCGUCUGACAACGAUAUCCUAUCCGUGUGCUUGAACUGUCCAACUUCAGACUGAGAGACAAACUGCAAACCUUCCCUAAAAUAAUCAAAUGGAGCCCAAACCCAAGAAGGGGAAGGGGAUGUUCGGGCUGAAAGUGAAGAAGAAGAAGAGAGUCACCACAUCCGAUCUUGUCUUGGCCAAUAAAGCAGCUCUAGAUGGUACAGAGCCAGAGGGUAAAGCUGAGGUCACUGGUCUGUUAGAAGGACAGUACCCCGACGAUAGUCAGCCUGGCCUUUCUGGAACACUACCUGUCAGACAGCUACCCCAGACCAAGAG
This 449-nucleotide long non-coding RNA is filed under the name Salmo salar (Atlantic salmon). RNAcentral's name for it is "lncRNA (ENSSSAG00000117523.1)". Lineage: Eukaryota; Metazoa; Chordata; Actinopteri; Salmoniformes; Salmonidae. The record is from RNAcentral.